RNAcentral lists this ribosomal RNA (403 nucleotides) under uncultured bacterium. Its description in RNAcentral is "partial 16S ribosomal RNA". It matches the Rfam family "Bacterial small subunit ribosomal RNA", at positions 30 to 526 of the family's 1533-position model. The record is from RNAcentral.
AUUGAACGCUGGCGGCAGGCCUAACACAUGCAAGUCGAGCGAGCGGCGGACGGGUGAGUAAUGUAUGGGGACUGCCCGAUCGAGGGGGAUAACUACUGGAAACGGUGGCUAAUACCGCAUACUAUCGGUUAACCCAUAUGGGAUUAGCUAGUAGGUGGGGUAAAGGCUCACCUAGGCGGCGAUCUCUAGCUGGGCUGAGAGGAUGAUCCGCCCCACAGGGCCUGAGACACGAGCCAUACUCCAUCGGAGGCAGCGGUGGAGAAUAUUGCACACUGGGCGCAGUCCGGAUGCAGCCAUUCCGCGUGUAUGAAGAAGGCCUUAGGGUUGGAAACCGCUUUCAGCGAUGACGCGGUAGUGGCAUAAGAAGCACCGGCUAACUACGUGCCAGCAGCCGCGGUAAUAC